This is a long non-coding RNA of Rhea pennata, 1850 nucleotides long. RefSeq lists it as uncharacterized. The record is from RefSeq and is a predicted model, not a curated record. NCBI's taxonomy places the organism in Eukaryota, Metazoa, Chordata, Aves, Rheiformes, Rheidae. The transcript is spliced from 6 exons.
UCUGGUGAGACCAGGCAGGGUUGUCCCAGAUGUUGGUGCUGUCCCUCUUGGUAAUGGGAGAGGUGAGGGGGAAUGUGAGAGGCUGUGCAGGCUCCUGGUAGUCACAGUUUUGCUCAGAAGUGGGGCAGUUAGACAACAGCUAUGAAGAGCAGCGGUGCUGGGAGGAUUCAGUGCAGAACUGUGCAGUCACACAGCACAAGGGAAAGCCGUCCAGGAAAUGUGACCAGCGCUGCUUGUGUCCGAGGGUCCUAAAACGGCCUGAGAGACCCUGGAGCGGGCACAGGCACUGCACAGGAGCUCCGGGGAUACUAUGUCACUGCCUCCCAAAGUCAUGACAUUCAGAUACCUUUUACUGUGUGGAAAGAGCCUGCAGGAGCCCCGGCACAGGUACAGAGAAUCCUAGUUGCCUCAAAGGACCUGGAGCUGUAUGUGUUUUCUUUACCAAGACGUGAUCUCUUGGAUGCCUUGCUGCUGCUUCUGUGAUGCUCUGUGGAGCUGAGAGGACCAAAAAUACUAACAGUCUGUAACAGAGAUGAGUUAGUGUUUGCACUGUUUCAGGUAGGCUCAUUGGAAGUGCAGCUUAGUGUAAUCCAGCGGCAUGAUUCUUGCACAUGCUUACAUUUGAAUGUGGCUAAAACCAAGCCUGUGAUCAGCAACUUUGACACGUCUGGUGCACGUCUUCCUGUUCUGCUGCACGUCUGAAUGAAGGGAAAACUUCUUAAGAGCUAGAACCAACAAUAGUAAAUGCUGACGGAGAGGAAAGCCGGACAAGCGGUCUUUUUGUGAUUAAUACCUGAGGGACGAAGUGAAUGAAACGAGGAAGCAAAAAUGCAGUAGACCCCUGAUAUCCCCAGCACCUGCUGCAGAAGGAGGUGUUCUGCCACGGGCAAGUAAGGUGUGCAGAUAGACAGGGAAGGAUACAAUACUUACUCUUUCGGACAAAUUGCCAGGGCUGAAGUUGAAGAGACCAGAAAAACGUAAGCAAGCCGAGGUGCGAAAACCACGCGGAACCAGCCGAGAGCCGUCUCCGUCUCCCGCGAACGAAAGCCCGUCCUUCCUGACUAGGAAGGCUCACUGUUAGUAGCGAUCGAAAUAACGGAUCACAGACGUAUAACGAAGGCGUUCGUAACGUCGGGGAACGACUGCACGCUGCCGUGAAGAAUUACGGGCUACCGCCCUCGGACCUCUGCAAGUUAUCGCGUGCCAGGAGCGGCCGGUAGGAUCCAGAUGCCGGCGGAAAGGUUCUCCUCCCGGUCCCGACGAGGAGCCUUCGGCCGUAGGAAGGUCGGCCGCGUCCUUACCUGUGCUGAGCGUAGUCUGGCCGUCGAAAGAGCGUUGUCGUCGCCGGGAGCUCUCCGCGGAGAUCUGCGUCUGGCCGCCGAAGACGAGCGGAAGGCGAGCCCGGGCUUGCGGCGUGGACGCAGCUAAGUCCCGGGGCUGCGUUGCGUGUGAGCAGGGCUGGGACGUGGCAGUGGUUUUGCCCUUGGCGGUUACGGGCGUCACUGGCCGUGGAUGGUUGCCCGCGGAGCCGAGAGGAGCAAAACUAUCAACGGUCCGUGGGGGAGACGAAUUAGCGCUUGCGGCGUUUCAGAGCUGAAUCCUAUCCCCGAAGGAAAAAGCAGAAGGGGCAGGCCGUCGGCUACGCAGACGCCUGCCGCCUCGGGGGCUGCGGCGGGAGCUGACCCUUCCCUGACGGACGGGCGGACGGUCGGAGAGACGGUCGCUGGCGUGGCGAUGACUCUUCAGGUGUCACAGGGUAAGGGGAAGCAUGCCAGCACCGAGCUCCGUGGCAGGCUCGCUCCCAGGUGGCGUUCCUGCCCAGUAAAACAAUAAACAGCUGCUUCAUUCUU